GACGAACGCUGGCGGCGUGCCUAAUACAUGCAAGUCGAACGCACAGUUUAUACCGUAGCUUGCUACACCAUACACUGUGAGUUGCGAACGGGUGAGUAACGCGUAGGUAACCUGCCUGGUAGCGGGGAUAACUAUUGGAAACGAUAGCUAAUACCGCAUAAUAUUGAUUAUUGCAUGAUAAUUGAUUGAAAGAUGCUAUUGCAUCACUACCAGAUGGACCUGCGUUGUAUUAGCUAGUAGGUGAGGUAACGGCUCACCUAGGCGACGAUACAUAGCCGACCUGAGAGGGUGAUCGGCCACACUGGGACUGAGACACGGCCCAGACUCCUACGGGAGGCAGCAGUAGGGAAUCUUCGGCAAUGGACGAAAGUCUGACCGAGCAACGCCGCGGGAGUGAAGAAGGUUUUCGGAUCGUAAAGCUCUGUUGUAAGAGAAGAACGGGUGUGAGAGUGGAAAGUUCACACUGUGACGGUAUCUUACCAGAAAGGGACGGCUAACUACGUG
Molecule: ribosomal RNA, 504 nt
Filed under: uncultured bacterium
Lineage: Bacteria
Description: partial 16S ribosomal RNA
Rfam family: Bacterial small subunit ribosomal RNA
Source: RNAcentral